This 1009-nucleotide ribosomal RNA is filed under the name Paraburkholderia ginsengiterrae. Its description in RNAcentral is "bacterial SSU rRNA". It matches the Rfam family "Bacterial small subunit ribosomal RNA", at positions 60 to 1061 of the family's 1533-position model. Lineage: Bacteria; Pseudomonadati; Pseudomonadota; Betaproteobacteria; Burkholderiales; Burkholderiaceae. The record is from RNAcentral.
AGUCGAACGGCAGCACGGGAGCAAUCCUGGUGGCGAGUGGCGAACGGGUGAGUAAUACAUCGGAACGUGUCCUGUAGUGGGGGAUAGCCCGGCGAAAGCCGGAUUAAUACCGCAUACGCUCUGCGGAGGAAAGCGGGGGAUCCUUCGGGACCUCGCGCUACAGGGGCGGCCGAUGGCAGAUUAGCUAGUUGGUGGGGUAAAGGCCUACCAAGGCGACGAUCUGUAGCUGGUCUGAGAGGACGACCAGCCACACUGGGACUGAGACACGGCCCAGACUCCUACGGGAGGCAGCAGUGGGGAAUUUUGGACAAUGGGCGCAAGCCUGAUCCAGCAAUGCCGCGUGUGUGAAGAAGGCCUUCGGGUUGUAAAGCACUUUUGUCCGGAAAGAAAACCUCUGGGUUAAUACCCCGGGGGGAUGACGGUACCGGAAGAAUAAGCACCGGCUAACUACGUGCCAGCAGCCGCGGUAAUACGUAGGGUGCAAGCGUUAAUCGGAAUUACUGGGCGUAAAGCGUGCGCAGGCGGUCCGCUAAGACAGAUGUGAAAUCCCCGGGCUUAACCUGGGAACUGCAUUUGUGACUGGCGGGCUAGAGUAUGGCAGAGGGGGGUAGAAUUCCACGUGUAGCAGUGAAAUGCGUAGAGAUGUGGAGGAAUACCGAUGGCGAAGGCAGCCCCCUGGGCCAAUACUGACGCUCAUGCACGAAAGCGUGGGGAGCAAACAGGAUUAGAUACCCUGGUAGUCCACGCCCUAAACGAUGUCAACUAGUUGUCGGGUCUUCAUUGACUUGGUAACGUAGCUAACGCGUGAAGUUGACCGCCUGGGGAGUACGGUCGCAAGAUUAAAACUCAAAGGAAUUGACGGGGACCCGCACAAGCGGUGGAUGAUGUGGAUUAAUUCGAUGCAACGCGAAAAACCUUACCUACCCUUGACAUGUAUGGAAUCCUGCCGAGAGGUGGGAGUGCCCGAAAGGGAGCCAUAACACAGGUGCUGCAUGGCUGUCGUCAGCUC